GUGAGAAGCAACCACCCAUGGAACAAAAACCCUCAAAUCCCUGUAGCCUCAUUCUUUCCCCUCUGAGCUUUUGCUUUAUUCAUUUCCUAGAACUUUUAUAACUUAAAAUUGACUAAAGGGUUAUUGGGUUUCUUACAGUAAUGAAGUUCAGUAAAUUGAGGCUCAGACAUGUGCUUAAGCUCAAGCAAAAUGAGAGUCCAACCACGCCAUGGCUG
This 215-nucleotide unclassified non-coding RNA is filed under the name Hevea brasiliensis (rubber tree). The record is from RNAcentral. Lineage: Eukaryota; Viridiplantae; Streptophyta; Magnoliopsida; Malpighiales; Euphorbiaceae.